AAGUCUUCCUAUUGCUAAUUUCACUAUUUUGUUUGGUUGUUCCUCUCUGUGGUCUGGCUGCUCUCUCUCUCUUUGUGCGGUCUCUUCCACUAUUUCAGCGUUCAAGCCUGGGACUUGGUCACGGCUACAUCAUACUCCUCGGCCAUACUCCUAAUCUAUUCCAUUACAGUUCCCUGUUGAAUGCAUAUUCCGAAAAUUCUUAUUAUGAAAAGGUUGAGAUGUUGAUGAAAGAUUUGAGAUCCUCUGGUUUAACACCAAACAAGGUAUACUUUCUCUGCUUGUUUUUUUUUGUUGAGAUCCUCUGAUUUGCUCUCUCAGUUUAAAUUUUUAAGUUUCCUUUUCUUUAAGUGUUGAGUUCUUUUCUCAAUAUACAUGCACAUCCCUAUGAUAAGUUAGAAAAUUGUUAGCAUGGAUAUUGAGAAAACCUAGGUAAUGUGUCACAGGGAGUAGCUGCUUCUUUUUUGUGGCUAGACAUAUUCAUAAUUUUAUACGUCCAGCUGGUGUUGUUAAGAUCUUCAGAUAGCAGCUUCCUCUUGUACUUUUUUUUUAAAAAAAAAACUUCCUCUUGAACUGAAUCUAGCUCUUCAGUGGUUCGCCCCCCUACUUGUAUUUGGCAUGGUCCCCGGUGUAUUGAUGGAACAUGGUGUCCAAGUGCUCCUGCGCCAAUUUGGGUCCUACUCCCCGGAGUAGGUGAGAAGGAAGAGCCACUGCUCGGAGCCAUUGGGUAUUCAUUUGUGGGUUUUAACACCUGUUGUAGUAGGAUGAAGACUGUCAAGACUUGCGUUAAUCCCUUUUGCUUUUACAAUGAAAAGACAGAGUAAGUAUCAUCUUCUUAUGGUAAAUAUUAUUCGCCUUUUCUCUAUCAUCAUUUUUCUAGGAUUUGGGAAAUUUUCUUUUGAGAUCCCGCAUAAAACUCUAAAUAUGUCAAUUUUCUAUUUGGCAUGUCUGAUGAUUAAAAUGACCAA
Lolium perenne is the source of this 965-nucleotide long non-coding RNA. RefSeq lists it as uncharacterized. NCBI's taxonomy places the organism in Eukaryota, Viridiplantae, Streptophyta, Magnoliopsida, Poales, Poaceae. The record is from RefSeq and is a predicted model, not a curated record.